RNAcentral lists this antisense RNA (1151 nucleotides) under Pan troglodytes (chimpanzee). The stretch from base 268 to 411 matches the Rfam family "CDKN2B antisense RNA 1 convserved region 3". Lineage: Eukaryota; Metazoa; Chordata; Mammalia; Primates; Hominidae. The record is from RNAcentral.
CUCUUCGAAAGUCUUCCAUUCUUCAAACUAGAUUAUUUAAAAAUGAAAAAGGAAGAAAGGAAAGCGAGGUCAUCUCAUUGCUCUAUCCGCCAAUCAGGAGGCUGAAUGUCAGUUUUGAACUAAAAGCCGCUCCGCUCCUCUUCUAGAUUUGGAAAACAAGCGAAAUUAAACUAAACCGCUGCACGCCUCUGACGCGACAUCUGGACACGGCGCGGCGCUGGCGCUGCCGGAGCUGUCGGCCCGGCCUGGCGCCGGACUAGUGUCCCUUUUGAUGAGAAGAAUAAGCCUCAUUGUGAUUCAACAGCAGAGAUCAAAGAAAAGACUUCUGUUUUCUGGCCACCAGAUAUAUGUUAUCUGUGCUUAAAGAAUUGAAAAACACACAUCAAAGGAGAAUUCUCUUGGAAAGAGAGGGUUCAAGCAUCACUGUUAGGUGUGCUGGAAUCCUUUCCCGAGUCAGUACUGCUUUCUAGAAGAAAACCGGGGAGAUCUAUUUGGAAUGUAUCUAACUCCAAAGGAACCAUCAGAGGUAACAGUAGAGACGGGGUUUCACCAUGUUGGCCAGACUGGUCUUGAACUCCCGACCUCGUGAUUCGCCCGCCUUGGCCUCCCAAAGUGCUGGGAUUACAGGUGUGAGACACCAUGCCCGGCGGAUAGAGAGAAUUUUGACAGAUUGGCUUCUCUCACAUGGCAAGAAACAUUGCUGCUAGCACUUCCCGAGUUCUAUGUUCUACAACAUCCACCACUGCUAUGUGUCUCACAGUCCAGACUUGGAGUACAAGUAAUAAGAAGAAUAAAACUUAAUCCCUCAAGUAGAUUCACCAUAAGUUAGCUCAGAGCAAUUCCAGUGCAAGUAUGGUCUGUGAUCCAAUAGUAUCUUACAGACAGCAAGUUGAACAUUGUGGGAUGCAUAAGCUAUUGAGGCCUUUGCAGCUUUCUGCUACAUGGAGGCUACGGCCAGAGUCAACAUUUAUGCUUUGCAGCACACUGGUCAGCUGUUUUUGCAAAUCAGAUUAAAUAAUUUUUAAAUGAGGCUGAGAGCAUGGGAGAUACUAAUGUGUGUUUCCUUGUGAGCUACUGCAUAAGUUAGGAAAUUGAAAUACAGAAAGAUGAAAAGUGAUUUGCCCAAGUAUAUAGAUCAAAACUGUGGCAGA